This 1057-nucleotide ribosomal RNA is filed under the name Enterococcus faecium. Its description in RNAcentral is "bacterial SSU rRNA". It matches the Rfam family "Bacterial small subunit ribosomal RNA", at positions 202 to 1248 of the family's 1533-position model. Lineage: Bacteria; Bacillati; Bacillota; Bacilli; Lactobacillales; Enterococcaceae. The record is from RNAcentral.
AAAGGCGCUUUCGGGUGUCGCUGAUGGAUGGACCCGCGGUGCAUUAGCUAGUUGGUGAGGUAACGGCUCACCAAGGCCACGAUGCAUAGCCGACCUGAGAGGGUGAUCGGCCACAUUGGGACUGAGACACGGCCCAAACUCCUACGGGAGGCAGCAGUAGGGAAUCUUCGGCAAUGGACGAAAGUCUGACCGAGCAACGCCGCGUGAGUGAAGAAGGUUUUCGGAUCGUAAAACUCUGUUGUUAGAGAAGAACAAGGAUGAGAGUAACUGUUCAUCCCUUGACGGUAUCUAACCAGAAAGCCACGGCUAACUACGUGCCAGCAGCCGCGGUAAUACGUAGGUGGCAAGCGUUGUCCGGAUUUAUUGGGCGUAAAGCGAGCGCAGGCGGUUUCUUAAGUCUGAUGUGAAAGCCCCCGGCUCAACCGGGGAGGGUCAUUGGAAACUGGGAGACUUGAGUGCAGAAGAGGAGAGUGGAAUUCCAUGUGUAGCGGUGAAAUGCGUAGAUAUAUGGAGGAACACCAGUGGCGAAGGCGGCUCUCUGGUCUGUAACUGACGCUGAGGCUCGAAAGCGUGGGGAGCAAACAGGAUUAGAUACCCUGGUAGUCCACGCCGUAAACGAUGAGUGCUAAGUGUUGGAGGGUUUCCGCCCUUCAGUGCUGCAGCUAACGCAUUAAGCACUCCGCCUGGGGAGUACGACCGCAAGGUUGAAACUCAAAGGAAUUGACGGGGGCCCGCACAAGCGGUGGAGCAUGUGGUUUAAUUCGAAGCAACGCGAAGAACCUUACCAGGUCUUGACAUCCUUUGACCACUCUAGAGAUAGAGCUUCCCCUUCGGGGGCAAAGUGACAGGUGGUGCAUGGUUGUCGUCAGCUCGUGUCGUGAGAUGUUGGGUUAAGUCCCGCAACGAGCGCAACCCUUAUUGUUAGUUGCCAUCAUUCAGUUGGGCACUCUAGCAAGACUGCCGGUGACAAACCGGAGGAAGGUGGGGAUGACGUCAAAUCAUCAUGCCCCUUAUGACCUGGGCUACACACGUGCUACAAUGGGAAGUACAACGAGUU